AUUGCCCAAUUUAUGAACUAAAUGUUGUUACUAUUGGCUUUGACAUCGCCAAGUCCUCUUAACGCUUGGUUAGAUUACAAGUGUAUGUUUGUUGAAGCUUGUAUACAAUGUAGUGUCUCAAGCAGCAGACAGAAUAUUUCUUGUGCUGUGGUCAAGACAACAUAACACUCAAAUGUAUACAAUUCUAAUUGUAUAUAAUUCAUACUUG
This 208-nucleotide unclassified non-coding RNA is filed under the name Protaphorura sp. SA-2013. Its description in RNAcentral is "sequence contains ITS2". The record is from RNAcentral. Lineage: Eukaryota; Metazoa; Arthropoda; Collembola; Poduromorpha; Onychiuridae.